UCUGACUUGAGUGCAGAAGGGGAGAGUGGAAUUCCAUGUGUAGCGGUGAAAUGCGUAGAUAUAUGGAGGAACACCAGUGGCGAAAGCGGCUCUNUGGUCUGUCACUGACGCUGAGGCUCGAAAGCGUGGGUAGCGAACAGGAUUAGAUACCCUGGUAGUNCACGCCGUAAACGAUGAGUGCUAGGUGUUAGGCCCUUUCCGGGGCUUAGUGCCGGAGCUAACGCAAUAAGCACUCCGCCUGGGGAGUACGACCGCAAGGUUGAAACUCAAAGGAAUUGACGGGGGCCCGCACAAGCGGUGGAGCAGGUGGUUUAAUUCGAAGCAACGCGAAGAACCUUACCAGGUCUUGACAUCCCGAUGCUAUUCUUAGAGAUAGGAAGUUACUUCGGUACAUCGGAGACAGGUGGUGCAUGGUUGUCGUCAGCUCGUGUCGUGAGAUGUUGGGUUANNNNNNNCAACGAGCGCAACCCUUAUUGUUAGUUGCCAUCAUUAAGUUGGGCACUCUAGCGAGACUGCCGGUAAUAAACCGGAGGAAGGUGGGGAUGACGUCAAAUCAUCAUGCCCCUUAUGACCUGGGCUACACACGUGCUACAGUGGUCGGUACAACGAGUUGCGAGCCGGUGACGGCAAGCUAAUCUCUGAAAGCCGAUCUCAGUUCGGAUUGGAGGCUGCAACUCGCCUCCANGAAGUCGGAAUCGCUAGUAAUCGCGGAUCAGCACGCCGCGGUGAAUACGUUCCCGGGCCUNG
Molecule: ribosomal RNA, 747 nt
Filed under: uncultured bacterium
Lineage: Bacteria
Description: bacterial SSU rRNA
Rfam family: Bacterial small subunit ribosomal RNA
Source: RNAcentral